Molecule: long non-coding RNA, 613 nt
Filed under: Marmota monax (woodchuck)
Lineage: Eukaryota; Metazoa; Chordata; Mammalia; Rodentia; Sciuridae
Source: RNAcentral
ACGGCGACGUGUCCGCGGCCUCUCGCCCACUCUGGGGCAAGACGGUCCUCUUCAGCUCUGCCAAUUAGUCCCACCUCACCUUCCUCCGCCGCAGAGCCGCGCUUUCUGCAAAUUGACGGGAAAGGAGGAAUCGUUGGGUCGUGGACACAUGGGCCGUCUCCCGUUGUGCAAACACCGGGGAGGAGGGGGCACCGAUCAAUUUGCAGGGCUGAGCGGCGGCGGCCCUGGGAGGAGAGGCGGGCGCUGUGCCCGGGCUGGUGUGAGAAUUAAUGAAGGCAGCUUGGAAGACGGAGGAGCACGGGCAUUUGAAAUGAAGCCCAGCGGGUUGCGAGAGUUCAGGAUGAAUUUCAAAAUGCAGAGAUUGCGGGCCACGGGCUAAUUAUCUCACAGGGACCGGCUGGGAGGCUGCAUCCAGGCAGCUCAGAGUGUCCAGGUGGAAGGUGGAAAACCCGGCGCGGGGCAGUGGUUUGGCAGAGUGGGGCUGCCUGGGCCCUGGCCCCCCUGUGGGGGCUGCACAGCCUCUGAGGGCCCGUCCUGCCUGUCCUUCAUCACCUGCAGCAUGUACACGAGCACCGUCCCUCCCAAGAUGGCCUUUAUCCUGUGACAGUGCAGC